RNAcentral lists this non-coding RNA (133 nucleotides) under Pseudoxanthomonas dokdonensis. Its description in RNAcentral is "Glycine sequence". It matches the Rfam family "Glycine riboswitch aptamer". From Rfam's summary of the family: This family represents the bacterial glycine riboswitch. Glycine riboswitches usually consist of two metabolite-binding aptamers domains with similar structures in tandem. The record is from RNAcentral. Lineage: Bacteria; Pseudomonadati; Pseudomonadota; Gammaproteobacteria; Lysobacterales; Lysobacteraceae.
CAUACACACUCUGGAGAGACCGACGCCCACUGUGGCGAACCGGCGCCGAAGGGGCACGAAGCGUAGAUUCCUCGUCGACCACCCGCGGGUGGCACGCUUCCAAACUCUCAGGCAAAAGGACAGAGGGGCGCCC